UACGUAGGGGGCUAGCGUUGUCCGGAAUCAUUGGGCGUAAAGAGCGUGUAGGCGGCCCGGUAAGUCCGCUGUGAAAGUCGGGGGCUCAACCCUCGAAUGCCGGUGGAUACUGUCGGGCUAGAGUGCGGAAGAGGCGAGUGGAAUUCCUGGUGUAGCGGUGAAAUGCGCAGAUAUCAGGAGGAACACCAAUUGCGAAGGCAGCUCGCUGGGACGUUACUGACGCUGAGGAGCGAAAGCAUGGGGAGCGAACAGG
RNAcentral lists this ribosomal RNA (253 nucleotides) under uncultured bacterium. RNAcentral describes it as "partial 16S ribosomal RNA". It matches the Rfam family "Bacterial small subunit ribosomal RNA", at positions 524 to 776 of the family's 1533-position model. The record is from RNAcentral.